Molecule: microRNA precursor, 100 nt
Filed under: Marmota monax (woodchuck)
Lineage: Eukaryota; Metazoa; Chordata; Mammalia; Rodentia; Sciuridae
Source: RNAcentral
AGAGGUAUAGCUAGGUCAAAUGAUUCCAUUCCAAGUUUUCUAAGGAAUCUCCAUAUUGCUUUCCAGAAUGGUUGCACCAAUUUGCAGUCCUACCAGCAAU